AGAGUUUGAUCCUGGCUCAGGAUGAACGCUGGCGGCAUGCCUAAUACAUGCAAGUCGAACGAAGUACUUUAGGAAGCUUGCUCUCCAAAGAUUAGUGGCGAACGGGUGAGUAACACGUAGGUAACCUGCCCAUGUGCCCGGGAUAACUGCUGGAAACGGUAGCUAAAACCGGAUAGGUAUGAGGGAGGCAUCUUCCUCAUAUUAAAGCACCUUCGGGUGUGAACAUGGAUGGACCUGCGGCGCAUUAGCUAGUUGGUGAGGUAACGGCCCACCAAGGCGAUGAUGCGUAGCCGACCUGAGAGGGUGAACGGCCACAUUGGGACUGAGACACGGCCCAAACUCCUACGGGAGGCAGCAGUAGGGAAUCUUCGUCAAUGGGGGGAACCCUGAACGAGCAAUGCCGCGUGUGUGAAGAAGGUCUUCGGAUCGUAAAGCACUGUUGUAAGUGAAGAAUGCCACAUAGAGGAAAUGCUAUGUGUGUGACGGUAGCUUACCAGAAAGCCACGGCUAACUACGUGCCAGCAGCCGCGGUAAUACGUAGGUGGCAAGCGUUAUCCGGAAUCAUUGGGCGUAAAGGGUGCGUAGGUGGCACGAUAAGUCUGAAGUAAAAGGCAACGGCUCAACUGUUGUACUGCUUUGGAAACUGUCGAGCUAGAGUGCAGAAGAGGGCGAUGGAAUUCCAUGUGUAGCGGUAAAAUGCGUAGAUAUAUGGAGGAACACCAGUGGCGAAGGCGGUCGCCUGGUCUGUAACUGACACUGAUGCACGAAAGCGUGGGGAGCAAAUAGGAUUAGAUACCCUAGUAGUCCACGCCGUAAACGAUGAGAACUAAGUGUUGGAGAGAUUCAGUGCUGCAGUUAACGCAAUAAGUUCUCCGCCUGGGGAGUAUGCACGCAAGUGUGAAACUCAAAGGAAUUGACGGGGGCCCGCACAA
This 932-nucleotide ribosomal RNA is filed under the name human gut metagenome. Its description in RNAcentral is "bacterial SSU rRNA". It matches the Rfam family "Bacterial small subunit ribosomal RNA", at positions 8 to 928 of the family's 1533-position model. The record is from RNAcentral.